AUCGCUAUCGGAUUGGCUCGCGUCCCAUUAGGCAGUUGGCGGGGUAACGGCCCGCCAAACCGACGAUGGGUAGGGGUUCUGAGAGGAAGGUCCCCCACAUUGGAACUGAGACACGGUCCAGACUCCUACGGGAGGCAGCAGUGAGGAAUAUUGGACAAUGGCCGAGAGGCUGAUCCAGCCAUGCCGCGUGCGGGAAGACGGCCCUAUGGGUUGUAAACCGCUUUUGUUGGAGAGCAAUAAGAGUUACGUGUAACUUGAUGAGAGUAUCCAGCGAAUAAGCAUCGGCUAACUCCGUGCCAGCAGCCGCGGUAAUACGGAGGAUGCAAGCGUUAUCCGGAUUUAUUGGGUUUAAAGGGUGCGUAGGCGGAUGAUUAAGCGUGAGGUGAAAUGCCACAGCUCAACUGUGGAACUGCCUCGCGAACUGGUUGUCUGGAAUGCCCCUGCCGUGGGAGGAAUGUGUGGUGUAGCGGUGAAAUGCAUAGAGAUCACACAGAACACCGAUUGCGAAGGCAUCUCACGAAGGGGUGAUUGACGCUGAGGCACGAAAGCGUGGGGAUCAAACAGGAUUAGAUACCCUGGU
This 580-nucleotide ribosomal RNA is filed under the name uncultured rumen bacterium. RNAcentral's name for it is "bacterial SSU rRNA". It matches the Rfam family "Bacterial small subunit ribosomal RNA", at positions 214 to 791 of the family's 1533-position model. The record is from RNAcentral.